This 849-nucleotide unclassified non-coding RNA is filed under the name Hevea brasiliensis (rubber tree). The record is from RNAcentral. Lineage: Eukaryota; Viridiplantae; Streptophyta; Magnoliopsida; Malpighiales; Euphorbiaceae.
UGUGAAGGGCAGUGAAGCUUUUCUUCAGACCCUGUUUUCCGAAUGUUUUGUCGACGGUGGAAUUGACCGGCAUCUUGUUGCUCUUGACUGUGGUUCUGGCAUUGGGAGAAUCACCAAGAAUCUUCUCUUACGAUAUUUUAAUGAGGUUGAUCUUCUUGAGCCAGUCUCACAUUUCCUAGAUGUUGCCCGUGAAAGUUUGGUCUACGAAAAUCAUAUGGCCUCAGAUACACACAAGGCCACUAAUUUUUUUUGCACUCCACUUCAGGAAUUCACACCAGCUGCUGGAAGAUACGAUGUUAUUUGGGUUCAGUGGUGUAUUGGGCAUCUCACAGAUGAUGAUUUUGUUUCAUUUUUCAAGAGAGCAAAGGUUGGCCUCAAACCUGGUGGUUUUUUUGUCCUGAAGGAAAACACUGCACGAAGUGGAUUUAUAUUGGACAAAGAAGAUCGAAGCAUUACUAGGUCUGAUGUGUUCUUCAAGGAGCUCUUUUGUAGGUGCGGAUUGCAUCUUUAUAAAUCAAAGGAUCAGAGGGGAUUUCCCAAGGAACUAUUUGCUGUGAAGAUGUAUGCUUUAAUGCCAGAUAUGCCGAAGAAAAUCAGUAAGACUAGAUCCAAAACACAUGCAAAUAGGCCUGGCAUAAUCAAAUAAGGAUUUAGUCUCUCAAAGCUUCUAAAAUUGUUGUAAAAGGUGUUCUACUUUUCCAAUAUAAAAGCAGAUGUACAUGCUGUGACACCCAUGCAAGAGUAGACAGAAAUUGCAUUUUUCUACAUUCCUAAUGAAUUCGUUCUUCUUUGUACUUUUGUUCCCAAUCACCCUCUCCAUUUUCUCUCAAGAUGUAAUAAUAAUAAUAA